GACGAACGCUGGCGGCGUGCUUAACACAUGCAAGUCGACAUGAGUGGCGGAGGGGUGAGUAAUACGUGGUUACCCUGCCCUCCUUUUUAGGAUAAGCCUUGGAAACGGGGUCUACUACCGAAUGAAGGGGGAUGUGCUCGCGGCCUAUCGGCUUGUUGGUGGGGUGAUGGGCUACCAAGGCGUUGCCGGGUAGCCGGGAUGAGCGGCGGAACGGCAACAUAGGGACGGACAUGCGGCCCACAGUAGGACGGGAGGGAGAAGAUGGGGAGAUUGGACAAUGGGCGAAAGACGGAUGCAGCGACGCUGAGGGGGGGAUGAGGGCUGUAGGGUUGUAACACUCGUGCGCUAGCGAACGGGUAGGUGGAGAAGAAGCGCCGGCUAACUACGUGCCAGCAGCCGCGGUAAUAC
RNAcentral lists this ribosomal RNA (408 nucleotides) under uncultured bacterium. RNAcentral's name for it is "partial 16S ribosomal RNA". It matches the Rfam family "Bacterial small subunit ribosomal RNA", at positions 28 to 526 of the family's 1533-position model. The record is from RNAcentral.